Long non-coding RNA from Manis pentadactyla (Chinese pangolin), 663 nucleotides. RefSeq lists it as uncharacterized. The transcript is spliced from 2 exons. The record is from RefSeq and is a predicted model, not a curated record. Lineage: Eukaryota; Metazoa; Chordata; Mammalia; Pholidota; Manidae.
UCUGUGUUGUCUGUGUUUUUUGUUCACUCCCAUUUCACCCAAGCGAGUGGCUCACAAUGUCUGGUGCCCAACGUGGGACAUGCGUGAACUCACCAUGGGGCAGGAUCCCACAACCCUGAAGAAAUUGGAGAUAGGAUGCCAGGGGUGACUUGGGAUGCCAGAAGGGGGCCAACUUCGGUCUACUGCUGGUGGAACCGAAGAAAACAAACCAUGAAGCAAAACGCUCAAGUUAUGUCUGUCUUUCGACAUGUUCGAUCUCAGCCAUACAAUAUUUAAGGAAAGGAGGAGAUGAUGGGGACGGCCUUUGUCUUCUCACAUGUCUAAACGCAGAACGGGAAAGCACCUUCCCCCACGUCUGAAUGCAGUGUGGGGAGGCACCAGCUUGAGAACAACUGGUGCAGUCCUUGGAUGUUAUCUGCCCACUAAAGCAUAUCUUGUCCUCAAAAAUGAGCCAAGACGCCUCACGCUGAAAACAGGGAGACCUUGGGGACGUGUGAAAACACUGCCCCUGCUUACUGGGCAGAUUCUAAGAAAAUCAACAAGGUGCUCUGGCCUGUCCCCCCUGAGAAGGGAAAGAUGAGUAUAGCACUUGGCUGAGGUCCGAGAAAGGCAGUAUAAAAAUAAAGGAGCUGUGCCACAUCACGGCUGCAGCCAUUGUCUGUC